UGAGUGAAGAAACAUGCUGGGAGCAGUGGUUUGCCCCAGUGAGCUCAGCCUGAUGUGCCAGGCAGUCGGUGUGCCCGGAAGGCACAGUGCCCUGCUCUGGCUCUGGAACGUAGUCCUAGUUGUGCUCUGUGCCAAGCUAAGCAUGACUGGAGAAGGCAUAGACUGGAAGAGACACGCUUCCAAGGAACCUGUGAGUCAAGAUGGGCCAACUGUUCCGCUCCUGCGAGCGGCACGGCGGCGUGUUCGUGUGGCCUCCUGUGGGGAGCACACUGCCUGCUUCGUGGAGCUGGGUGAGAGGAGGCUCUGGGAGGGGGUCGCAGGGGAGAUGUUGACUUCCCAAGGUUGUUGUUGCCCUGCUGUGAGCUUGGUUCAGGUCCUCCCAGAGCUGGGGUUUUGGAUGAGCCAGCACAGGCUGUGGUUGGCCAUACGCCUGGGUUCAGGAGGCUCUGGUGGCCAUCCUUAGGUUGUACGAUGAGAAAAUGCUGCCAUGGCAAACUGUCCUGGCCUGAAAAUUGAGGCUUAGUUGUCAGCUCUGAGCAAACGAGGCUGUCAUACUGUAAUUGGAACAGCCUGCUUGGGGACUGAAGCCCACACAGCGUCCGUUCCCACUGGAGCAUUUGCAGCCAUUGGACUUGAGACAGAAAUUAAUUCUGGUGCGUCUGCAGCCACUGCUCGGCAGAAUGAACAAGACAAAUGCAGCACUCCCUUGAGCCUUGCCUGGAUCAGCCUGGCCCAUCUCUUCCUGGUCUGACUUCGGAAGCUGUCAUGUGUUGGUUGAGCAAAUGAAACCUCUGAGAAAAGGUAAAACUUCUCACCUAAGCAGGGAUGACCGAUUGUUACUACUACAUGGAGUGCCUACAGAGGAGGUCAGAAUGUGAUGGGUUUUGCCACGGUCUUUAGAAUACUUUGAUACCAAACUGUAGCGGUACCUUGCUCCUCUGAGCACUGGCUGAAAGCCCCCUGAAGCCUCUUCAGGGUUGCUGGAUCAAAUACCUGGUUGUUUUUCUUGUAUUGGGUCCAAAAGUACCUUAAAGAGGAAGGCAGGUAUUCUGCAGGCAGACGCAUCGGUGAAGUGGCUUGUCUAAAAAUACCCAAGAGAAGGGCCAAGGCUAGAACUUGGUAGAAAACUUGGAACCAAGGAACUCCAGCAGUCUGUCAUAAGAGUAGUUACUCUUAUCUCACAUGCACAAAGAACAGCACAACCCCUUUUUAAUGUAUGAACACCCAGAUAAAAUUCAGUUAUUCCUUUGGCAUCCAUCAGACCAUUGCUAUUGCCCAUCUUGUUGUAAAGGGAUGAACGUGUAAACCCUUAUACGCAGGAGAAAGAGACCUCAGUUGUUUAUUAUAUCUGGAAACAAUCAAGCUCUUGAGUUUUUUUUCAGCUGAAACAGAAGACUGAAAGUAACUUUUUUACUCAUUCCUUGAGGAAAAUGCAUUCAGUAAUCCCUUUUCUUUGGGCCACA
RNAcentral lists this long non-coding RNA (1463 nucleotides) under Athene cunicularia (burrowing owl). Its description in RNAcentral is "lncRNA (ENSACUG00000010997.1)". The record is from RNAcentral. Lineage: Eukaryota; Metazoa; Chordata; Aves; Strigiformes; Strigidae.